Molecule: non-coding RNA, 812 nt
Organism: Megalopta genalis
Lineage: Eukaryota; Metazoa; Arthropoda; Insecta; Hymenoptera; Halictidae
Source: RefSeq, a predicted model, not a curated record
ACCAACCCAAAAUUUGUAUUUUUUACAUGAUUUUAGGGUCCCAAUAUUGAAAAAGUAGUAGGAAAAAUCGAUAAUCAAAUUUCGAAGUGACACCAUUUUCUUUAAUUAUUGACUUUUUCUUUCGUUCUAGUACCCGUUGUAGUCAAACUAAUACUCAUUGAGAAUCUUGUAUGUUUUCUUUCAUUUCAGAUAAACAAAAUAGCAGCAAUCAUGGUCACUAUGGGACGAUCUUUCUGAAAUUCGACUAAGUUUCAUAAGAUAUGAUAUUCCACUUAAGGAACGAAGGUGUGUCGAACCAAGCGUUCGAAGCUACUCUAUCUGGAACAAAAUUGUUAUCACUAUACAAUGGCUACCUCUCUACCGAGUUAUUCUUACCUGGCUAGCUUUUCUCUAAUUGUUAUGUACCUAUGGUUGGGAAAAUAUUAGAGGUGAUUACCGAUACGGUGUCAACGAUUUUAGCAGACAGAGUUGUGUUUGGUUUUUUCCAAGGAAAAUGUGAAUGCGUACCUCAAGUACAAUAGAGCCAACUUGAUCGUUGGACAGUAUGUUACGAUUCGAUGAAGACACUUCCCCCUGUUGAACGGCAUGACUGUUCGAGCCUUCCUGUUGCCUAAUGUGCCGAAUCUGUGAAGGAAAAAGAAAAAAAUCAAAUUUUCAGUAACGUUCUUACUUAAAAAUUAAACUAUUGUUGACAGUGGUCGACUGCCUCUGUUGCAAAAGCUUUUUGUACUGAACGAUAUACUUCUUGCAACUUUUAUUUUCGACUUGACACUAUAUUCAUUAGAAAAUAUCUUUGGCGAUAAUUAUUUAUU